GAUGAACGCUGGCGGCGUGCUUAACACAUGCAAGUCGAACGGUGAAGCAGGAGCUUGCUCUUGUGGAUCAGUGGCGAACGGGUGAGUAACACGUGAGCAACCUGCCCCUGACUCUGGGAUAAGCGCUGGAAACGGCGUCUAAUACUGGAUAUGUGAUGUGACCGCAUGGUCUGCAUCUGGAAAGAAUUUCGGUUGGGGAUGGGCUCGCGGCCUAUCAGCUUGUUGGUGAGGUAAUGGCUCACCAAGGCGUCGACGGGUAGCCGGCCUGAGAGGGGGCCCGGCCACACUGGGACUGAGACACGGCCCAGACUCCUACGGGAGGCAGCAGUGGGGAAUAUUGCACAAUGGGCGGAAGCCUGAUGCAGCAACGCCGCGUGAGGGAUGACGGCCUUCGGGUUGUAAACCUCUUUUAGCAGGGAAGAAGCGAAAGUGACGGUACCUGCAGAAAAAGCACCGGCUAACUACGUGCCAGCCGCCGCAGUAA
RNAcentral lists this ribosomal RNA (484 nucleotides) under uncultured bacterium. RNAcentral describes it as "partial 16S ribosomal RNA". It matches the Rfam family "Bacterial small subunit ribosomal RNA", at positions 28 to 523 of the family's 1533-position model. The record is from RNAcentral.